This 213-nucleotide ribosomal RNA is filed under the name uncultured bacterium. RNAcentral describes it as "partial 16S ribosomal RNA". It matches the Rfam family "Bacterial small subunit ribosomal RNA", at positions 1287 to 1500 of the family's 1533-position model. The record is from RNAcentral.
CCCAGUUCGGAUCGCAGGCUGCAACCCGCCUGCGUGAAGUCGGAAUCGCUAGUAAUCGCGGAUCAGCAUGCCGCGGUGAAUACGUUCCCGGGCCUUGUACACACCGCCCGUCACACCAUGAGAGUCGGGAACACCCGAAGUCCGUAGCCUAACCGCAAGGAGGGCGCGGCCGAAGGUGGUUCGAUAAUUGGGGUGAAGUCGUAACAAGGUAAC